AUUGAACGCUGGCGGCAGGCCUAACACAUGCAAGUCGAGCGGAGCGGCGGCCGCGUGAGUAAUGCCUAGGAAUCUGCCUGUUAGUGGGGGAUAACGUCCGGAAACGGGCGCUAAUACCGCAUACUCUCAGAUGAGCCUAGGUCGGAAUAGCUGGUUGGGGGGGUAAAGGCCUACCAAGGCGACGAUCCGUAACUGGUCUGAGAGGAUGAUCAGUCACACUGGAACUGAGACACGGUCCAGACUCCUACGGGAGGCAGCAGUGGGGAAUAUUGGACAAUGGGCGCAAGCCUGAUCCAGCCAUGCCGCGUGUAUGAAGAAGGUCUUCGGAUUGUAAAGCACUUUAAGUUGGGAGGCGUUACCGACAGAAUAAGCACCGGCUAACUUCGUGCCAGCAGCCGCGGUAAUUC
This 407-nucleotide ribosomal RNA is filed under the name uncultured bacterium. RNAcentral's name for it is "partial 16S ribosomal RNA". It matches the Rfam family "Bacterial small subunit ribosomal RNA", at positions 30 to 526 of the family's 1533-position model. The record is from RNAcentral.